UACAGGGGGGGCAAGCGUUGUUCGGAAUUACUGGGCGUAAAGGGCCAGUAGGCGGCCGAUUAAGUCCGACGUGAAAUCCCCAGGCUUAACCUGGGAACUGCGUCGGAUACUGAUGGGCUUGAAUUCGGGAGAGGGAUGCAGAAUUCCAGGUGUAGCGGUGAAAUGCGUAGAUAUCUGGAGGAAUACCGGUGGCGAAGGCGGCAUCCUGGACCGACAUUGACGCUGAACGGCGAAAGCUAGGGGAGCAAACGGGAUUAGAUACCCCGGUAGUCCUAGCCCUAAACGAUGAAUGUUUGGUGUGGCGGGUAUCGAUCCCUGCCGUGCCGAAGCUAACGCAUUAAACAUUCCGCCUGGGGAGUACGGUCGCAAGGCUGAA
RNAcentral lists this ribosomal RNA (376 nucleotides) under uncultured bacterium. Its description in RNAcentral is "bacterial SSU rRNA". It matches the Rfam family "Bacterial small subunit ribosomal RNA", at positions 524 to 898 of the family's 1533-position model. The record is from RNAcentral.